AGGAGUUAUCACGAUUCUAAACACUUUUAAAUUAAAAGAUAUUGUUGUAUUCCUUAAAAUACCCUAAAUAAUUUGGUUCGUAAACGAAUUUUUCCACAGAACAACGGGGGCUUCAACAUCUUAAUAUCAUCGGGAAGGUUUAAAACGAAAUUGUUUUAAAAAUGUAUUUUAAUAUUUCAUUCAGAUUUUUUAGACAUUCUUCUGAGACAUGAACAGCCUAGCACUGUUCCCUCUCGGAGUAAUUCUGCUCUCCCUCAGAAAAGUUCUGUUCUUCUACAGGGGAGUUCUGUUCUACCUCAGGGGAGUUCUGUUCUCCUACAAAGGAGUUCUGAUUUACCUCAGAGUAGCUCUUUUCCUGCUGAGCCAGCCAAGAACAAGAGAAAAUUUGAAAAACAGGCAACAGAAGAAUUGUACACCUCUAGCUUUGAAGAAAUUCCAGAAAAUGGAUCUAUUGCUGACGAAAUUAUCCAGCAAUACAAAAAAAGAAGAAUUAAGAUGUCUAACUACUAAGCUAAUACUGUUUAAAAAUGAAUAACUUUCAAAUUAUCCAUUUUGAAAUGUUAAAGAAAUAAAUAAUUGAACAAA
This is a long non-coding RNA of Eurytemora carolleeae, 585 nucleotides long. RefSeq lists it as uncharacterized. The transcript has 2 exons. Lineage: Eukaryota; Metazoa; Arthropoda; Copepoda; Calanoida; Temoridae. The record is from RefSeq and is a predicted model, not a curated record.